This 730-nucleotide non-coding RNA is filed under the name Kusala populi. Lineage: Eukaryota; Metazoa; Arthropoda; Insecta; Hemiptera; Cicadellidae. The record is from RNAcentral.
AAUUGAGUUUGAUUUUUUCUUUAAAAUUAAUUAUUUAUAUGAAUUAUAUGAAUUAUAUUAAAUUAGUUUUUAUUCAGUAAUAAAUUUUUUUAAUUAUUUUUAUUUAUAUUAAGUUAUAUAAUUAUCUUAGAUGAAAAUUGUGCCAGCAUUCGCGGUUAUACAAUUUAAGAAUAUUAAUUUAUUUAGUUUUAAUUUUUUAUUUUGAGGUUAAAUUUAUAUUAUUUAAGUGAAAUUUUUAUUUUAAUUUUGCUUCUGUUUCAAUUUUUAUUAAAUCUUUAUAAUAAAUUAGGAUUAGAUACCCUAUUAUUAAUUGACUUAAUUUUAUUAGCUUUAACAUUAAUAGUUAUUUUCUAUAAAAUUUUAAUAAUUUGGCGGUAAUUUAUUUUUAGGGGAACCUGUUCUUUAAUUGAUAAACCACGAUAUUAUUUACUUUAUUUCUAUUUGUAUAUCUCUAUAAUUUGGAGUAUUUUAAUAAAAAUUCUUUUUUUUUUAUAAAAUUUUAUGUUAGGUCAAGGUGCAGUUAUUUUUAAAGUUAGUGUGGGUUACUUUAAUUUUAUAUAUUUAUUGGAUUGAAAAAUUAUUUAUUUUUAUAAAAUCGGAUUUAAUAGUAAUUUUAAAUUAUUAUUUAAUAUGAAUUUUUUAUUAAAUUAUGUACAUAUUGCCCGUCACUCUCAUUUUAGUUGAGAUAAGUCGUAACAAAGUAAUUGUACUGGAAGGUGUAAUUAGAUUU